Struthio camelus australis is the source of this 1202-nucleotide long non-coding RNA. NCBI's taxonomy places the organism in Eukaryota, Metazoa, Chordata, Aves, Struthioniformes, Struthionidae. The record is from Ensembl.
NNNNNNNNNNNNNNNNNNNNNNNGUGCCCCAUGGGGGACCCAGGCGUCCGGGGGGACCCACUCAACCCCAGAGCAGAUCAAGGCGUCCAGGAGGCCCUGCUCCAUCCCAUGUGCCCCACCGGGGGCCCAGGCGUCCGGGGGGCCCCACUCAACCCCAGAGCAGAUCGAGUGGGGGACCCAGGUGUCCGGGGGUGUCCUGCUCCGUCCCAUGUGCCCCGUGGGGGACCCAGGCAUCCAGGAGAUCCCGUUCGACCCCAGAGGAGAUCGAGGCGUCCAGGAGGCCCUGCUCCAUCCCAUGUACCCCAUGGGGGGCCCAGUGUCCGGGGGUGUCCUGCUCCGUCCCAUGUGCCCCGUGGGGGACCCAGGCAUCCAGGAGAUCCCGUUCGACCCCAGAGGAGAUCGAGGCGUCCAGGAGGCCCUGCUCCAUCCCAUGUACCCCAUGGGGGGCCCAGGUGUCCGGGGGACCCUACUUUGCCCCACUGAGGACCCAGAGCUCUGGGGAGCCCCGCUCCACCCCAUGGCAGAUCCAAGCGUCCGGGGGACCCCGCUCCACCCCACAGGGACCCAGGCAUCCGGGGGACCCAGGCGUCCGGGCUCCCCUCCUCCCUCUCUGGGGUCCCAGCUGGCCGGGCUCUCCUGCUCCACGCCCCCCUCAUCAACCCCACCACACCGAGGACCAAGGCGUCCGGGCAGCCCCUCGAGGGACCCAGGCGUCCGAGAGCACCCACUCCACCCCACAACCCCGCGGGAGGGGGCCCAGGCGUCCGGGCACGCACACGGAGCGGAACUCGCCGUAGGGCACGGUGGGCUUCAGGAUGUCCUUGAUGCCGAUGAUGUUGUCGUGCUUGAAGUGCUUGAGGAUCUUGAGCUCGCGCAGCGUCCGCUUGGCGUUGGUCACCACGUCGAAGGCGUUGGGGAUCUUCUUGAUGGCCACCUGCUGGCCUGCGCCCCAGGGGCCCAGGCGUCCGGGGGUUCUUCAGCCGCUCAGGGACCCAGGUGUCCUGGAGCCUCACCCCCACCCCAGGAGCCCAGGCAGCCGGGACCAUCCUACCACGGGGCCCAGGCGUCUGGGGCUCCUGCUCCCCAGGGACCCAGGUGUCCGGGACCCUCCCACCCUGGGGCCCAGGCGUCCAGGGCUCCCGCUCCCCAGGGACCCAGGCGUCUGGGACCCUCCCACCAUGGGGCCCAGGCGUCCGGGGGUC